RNAcentral lists this long non-coding RNA (9619 nucleotides) under Medicago truncatula (barrel medic). Its description in RNAcentral is "long non-coding RNA (MTRU_LNC002407)". The stretch from base 8043 to 8129 matches the Rfam family "MIR2617 microRNA precursor family". Lineage: Eukaryota; Viridiplantae; Streptophyta; Magnoliopsida; Fabales; Fabaceae. The record is from RNAcentral.
GUAAUGUGAAAUUGAAUGUAAUUUCCUUCAAUUAUGAUUAUGAUUUGAUGAUUACAUGUUCUUUAGUUGAUUGUCAACUCUAAUUGUUAAACCUGUUGACUGUUGUUCUUUGCCCCUUUGGUGGUAACCAUAUUUACUGUCCUCUGUUAAUUGAUAAAUUCAUAAUUGCAUAACAUUUACUCUCUUUACAAAUAUUUUUUUGUUAAUCAUAGUUUUAAUCAUAGCCUAGUGAUGGUUUCACUUUCUAAUGAAAUUACUUAGUUAAGUCUUUGUGGUAAAUUCUUGGAGGAAUCUACUGAUUAAUUUUAUGUGAAAUAUAGUAUUAUUGAUGCAGGACUAAAUUUUUUACAUCUUAAACUGCUUCAAAUUGAAAUCCAAUGGAGUGGAAUGGAUGAUGACUCAAGUUUGUGAAUAUUUUUUUAGUAUUUAUAAGAGUGUCUCUGCAUCUUUGCUCUGCUUUUUAUAAAUGCUUUAAAGAUACAAAUGAUAUGCAGUAUAUUUGAUGGUUGUUUGAAAUUGUGAAUAUUUUUAUGUAAUGUUAGAUAAAUUGGAGCAAGAAGAUAGCUAUGCGGUUGUAGCUUAAUGUUGGAGAAGAGAAGAAGAGUUAUUCAUGAUAAAAUGAAACCUUAGAAAAGAACUUUGAGUUUGACAACUAGCUAGAGCAAGAGCCAUAGGAGAGAUCAUGGUUUAGUAUUCGGAGCUGUCUGUGCCUUACUGCCAGUUUAUUUUCUGCUGUUUUCAGUUUUUUACUGGUUUUUUGGUGCUGCUGGUGUAGCAGAUCAGCGCUGCUUGCAGCUGUUUUUCUGUCUUUGGUGGUUGCUUUUCAAUGAUGCUUGGCUAGUUCGGGAGUGAGGCAGGGGUAUGCUUGCUCUAUGCUAGUAUAUACUUCGGCCUCAUUGUUUGAUGCCAUUGUUGGUUUUGGGUUUUCUCGGUGAAUUGGUGUUACGUAUUUAGGCGGCACCUCUUUGUAUUUUUCCCCGUUUUUUCCGCAAGUUUUUUUAAUAGCAGCCACCCCAAACUUUUUUGUCUGGCUCUGCCAUUGGUUCUAACGGUUCGAUCUCUGCCUUCAACCAUUGAAGUAAGACUGUCCCCUUCGAAUUUCCACCUCUUCCUCUCAUCACAAAAGGUUUUGUUGGGGGAUUUUCUUCAAACCUCGCUAACAACUAUCAGUGCUAUUUUUGAGGUUUUGAGUUACAACGGAUGCACAUAACAUGUUUGAUAAAUUUCUCAAAUGAAAAUUCAGCAUGCAUUUCUUGUUGAACUCCGCUUUCAAACGCUAUUGGCUCCAAAAUACGAGUACCCACAAGUUCCAAUUACUUUCAGUGUCCCUCUUUUCCACAUUGCACCCAAUAUCUACACCACCCCUGUUGCAAGACCUCUGCGACAUUGUCACCAGCACUGUUGGUGGACUAGAUGAUCUAGAAUCAAGUCUAAAUAAGUUUAAGGGUUCUUUAACUUCACCACUUGUUGCUCAAGUUAUUGAUUCCGUUAAACAUGAGGCACACACUAGAAGAUUGCUCAGAUUCUUCUUAUGGUCGAAUAAGAAUUUGAGUAAUGAUUUGGAAGAUAAGGAUUAUAAUUAUGCUCUUAGAGUUUUUAACGAAAAGAAAGAUUACACGGCUAUGGAUAUCUUGCUUGGAGAUUUCAAGAAGCAGGGUAGAGUCAUGGAGGCUCAAACUUUUGGUGUUGUAGCGGAGACUUAUGUUAAACUCGGAAAAGAAGACGAAGCAUUGGGUAUUUUCAAGAAUUUGGAUAAGUAUAAAUGUCUUAUUGAUGAAUUCACGGUUACUGCUAUUAUUAAUGCUCUUUGCUCUAAAGGGCAUGCUAAGAGAGCUGAAGGUGUAGAUUGGCAUCACAAAGACAAGAUUAAAGGAGAGCUACCUUGUGUUUAUAGAAGUCUUCUUUAUGGUUGGUCUAUGGAGAGGAAUGUGAAGGAAUCUAGGAGAAUUAUUCAAGAGAUGAAGACAAAUGGGGUAACCCCAGAUAUAGUUUGCUAUAAUACAUUCCUUAGGUGCCUUUGUGAAAGAAAUCUCAGAAAUAAUCCUUCCGGACUUGUGCAGGAAGCUUUGAAUGUGAUGAUGGAGAUGAGGUCUUAUAAGGUUUUUCCAACUUCAAUCAGUUACAACAUUUUGCUUUCUUGUUUGGGGAAGACUAGAAGAGUUAAGGAAUCUUGUCAAAUACUUGAAGCAAUGAACAAAUCUGGUGUUGCUCCAGAUUGGGUUAGCUAUUAUCUGGUGACAAGGGUUUUGUUUAUGAGUGGUAGAUUUGGUAAAGGGAAAGAGAUAGUGGAUCAAAUGAUUGAAAAAGGUUUGGUACCAAACCAUAAGUUUUAUUACAGUUUGAUUGGUAUUCUCUGUGGGGUUGAAAGGGUAAAUCAUGCUCUUGAUUUGUUUGAGAAAAUGAAAGGAAGCUCAGUGGGAGGUUAUGGACCGGUUUAUGAUGUGCUCAUUCCAAAGCUUUGUAGAGGAGGGAAUUUUGAAAAGGGAAGAGAGCUUUGGGAUGAAGGCACAUAAAUGGGCAUCACUCUUCAAUGUUCAAAGGAUGUUUUGGAUCCUUCAAUAACAGAAGUAUAUAUACCUAAAAGACCAGAAAAAAUCAACGUUGUGGAUAGCCCAAAAGCCAAGUCUCAGCAGAAACUUUCAAAUUAUUUUGAGAGAAUGAAAAUGAGAAAAGCUGCAGCAUGGAAGAAGAAAACGAAAAAGAAAUCUGAAGCAUCUUAAUUUGUAAUUUAUGUAGUCUUUGUGAACAAACAAUUUAUAAUAAUACAUUAACUUUGUAUUACUGCAGGUUUGUGCUUAGCAACCAUAUGCUCUCUUUAUUGUUGAAUUUAAAACUUUGCAUGAAAAAACCUUUAUGAUCUACCAAUUAAACUGCAUCUUAUCCUUUGUCAAUUUAAGUUCAUAAUACUUAACUGUGCUUUUUAUACAUGUUAGCAAAUCAUAGUCAAUUUAAGUUCAUAUUUUACUGUGAUUUUAUACAUGUUAGUUAGUCAUACGGUCAUACCGUUUCCUUCAAUCCAACUUGAUCCCAAGGUAGAUCUUAGACAAACCAAUCCACCAGAUUGGUAUAGAUUGGGGGCCACUCUUUUAGGUUAGGGCUCGGGCUAGCGUGAGCGUACAACAUAGGUCUCUCACGGUGAAAACUGAAUUUUGUCCAUCAGAUAUAUGAUUAUAUUAUGUAGUGGUCAGGAUGUUUUACAGGAAACCUUUCUUCCACCGGGUGAAACAGUGUCUAUUUGUUUUUAAAAAUUCUGUCAACAGUAUCCGAAAUCAAUAAAUCUUACAGGGAAGGGAAGGGUUUACUGUUCUUCGAAGGAUCCUGUAGAUCGACCAAUUUGAAAGGGUUUCCCCACCACCGUUCACGUCCAAAUUUCAGGCUUCCGUUGUCGUUUUCGUGAAAUCCAUUUCUUCUCUUGUGGGUUCAUGGAGAUUUUUGUGUCAGGGUACAUCCUUACAGUCAUGGUGGACUGUUAUCGCUCCUUCCCGGUAAACUUUUUCUGUUUGUCAGGGUCGGCGCGUUUAGUGGCGGAUCAGUGAGCACGAGCUACAUUAUUUCUUGCUUGAGUUCCUUCCUCUGUUUAUUUAAUUUGUCGAGUAAAAGUUAUGUGUGGUUCCCAUUUUCUAUAUAAGCUCGCCUUGUGUGUGUGUUUGCUCCAUCGUCUCAUCCCUCUCCCUCUGCAGUUUAGGUUUCUGUUUGUGAGCUUAGUCUUGAAGAUGUAGAAAUCACUUGAUUCUUUGUUGUGUUGUGGGGUAUGGUUUUGAUUUUUUUUUUUAGUGUUUAUUGAUUAAUUUCUUUUAUCAACUUUUGUAGGAAAUCUGAUUUGUUUGUGUUUUCCCAUCUCGUAUUUAAGCUGAAACAGAUUGGGUAGGAAAGCUCAAAAAGGAAUUUGCAAUACUUCUUCAUGAUUGGCGACAAACACAAACAAGGAGGUAAAGUUCCAUCUUUGUCUCAUUCCCUUAAUCAAUUGCAGAAUAUGAUUUUGUUAUUUUAUUAGGUAUCAAAAUCCAUUUUUUCUCAUGUUUUGUGUUUAUUUUUCAUUGUUGCAUCCUCUUCAAAUCUUGCAUUUUUGUUUAUUUUCACAUCAGCUAUAUAUAGUUUAGUGAUUCACUUAUUGAUGUUUCUGUUAUGCAUAUUGAUUGUGUGUGCAUUUGAAAUCUAAUUUAAUCAUAUCUUUUAAUCUUGUGUUGCUCUUUUUCAGUUUCAUAUAUGCACACAAUGUGUUUGAUAAAAUGCAGAAGUGAAUCCUCAUCAACAUCACCUGGUUUGAUGUCGUUCCUUUUUUUUUAUUCAUGAACAUUUCAAUUAACUUGCUUAUUAGUUUUUGAUUUGUUUUGCCAUAAGCCCAAUCCAUAUCCUGCAUACAUAGAUUGGUAAAUUUCUAAAUUAUCUUUCUUUUUUCUUGUUCAUCGGAUUUAUUUGAAAAGAGAGGGAGAGAAAAACCUAAUUUCAACUAACAUGCAAGAGUUCAAAACAAUAUAAUUUAUCAUGAUUAAAUUGUGAUCAAGAGGACAAUAAGACAUUGGGAUGAUGGGUUUGUCUAAUGUAGCCUCUCAACUGAGAACUAAUGGAACUGUUUAUGCUCAACUGAGAACUAAUGGAACUCUUUAUGCUCAACAGCAACAACAUCAAAUGAUUCUGGGAAAAAUUAGGGAGCAUCUCUCAUAACAAGUUUCACUUUACUAUCAAUAGGUAUGAUCCAAUUUUGAUUAGUGUGCAAAUUAUGCUGUUUCCCAAUUAAAAUAUGUUUAUGCUUCUCAAGUUAAGAAAAAAGUCAGUUUAAAGGAAUUGAAAUUUCCAUUUGUACGAACAUAUAUAUAUGUGAGGCUAUUAUUAUUGUUAAGUGUUCAUAGAUGCUAUAACCCAAAAGCUUUAUAUGUUUUGAUCUUAUAUUUUUUUAAUUGUUUAUGUAGUCUAAGUUUUAAUAAUGUUCCAUUUCUAUCGAAGAUAUGGUGAUUCAAUGAGUUGACUGUUUAUCCUAUUUCUGUCAUGCUUCUUCAUUCUCCUUUAUAAUGAAAGGGAUGGGCAGAGGUUAGGCAAUUUUAGUAAUUUCAAGAGAAAAUGUUAAAUUAUAUCCUUUUGUAUGAUUUAAGGUGCUAUCAAUUCACUUUCAUUGUCUCGAUAGUACAUUCAACCCACAUACCCUGAUACUUUUUGUGCCAUUAUCAUACAAACCAAAACCAAAUACAUUUUUGUUUGUAUAGUCAGUUGUAGGAAAGACGAUGAAUCUCACCUAAGGUGAUUUGGGCUUGUGUGGUAAAUACCUGUAAAAGCCUUAAUAAAGAGAAUAGAUCGGACCGUGAAUAGUCUAAUAAUUAAAAAGGAGAUCAAGAAUAUAUAGGCUAAAAUAUUAAAAUUUAGAUCUUAAUGGUAUGUCAUUAAACAUGAUUUGUAAUAGGACACUGAUAUUGAAUGAUCCGUGUAAUUAGUAAACUUACACCAACAAUGACAUGGUUAAUGGUGAUAUGAUGUCACUUACAGAUAGCUGUUAAUGGUAAAAGCUUUAACAAUUCAGCUAGAGAUGCAUGGGAGUUAUUCCAAUCAACUGGGGUUGAGUCACUUGUGGCAUAUGUCCCUUCAGGUGCUGUUCUGCUAAUGGGCACCAUUUUUGGUGGAUUCAUAACUGGAACUUGUGCUGGUGUUUGGGUGUGGGUUAAAUGGAGUGAUAGGAUCACGGUAUGCCACCGUGAUUUUUGUAAAAUUUAUACUUUAGAGCUUCAACGAAAUCGGUGUCCAGUGAUUUUGUUAAAUUCUCCGUGAUUUCAAACAUGCAUUAAGUUAGUUAUUUGUCUUGUGUGAACGUGAAAUAUGUAACUUUGUUUUCAGGUUGGAUUGGCAAUGGUUGUGGUGGAGAGUGUUGUUACAUCGAUAUAUAUUUCCUAUGCAGAAGACCCUUUAUUGAUUCAGAGAUGGGAUGCUGAAUUUUUCAACCAGAUGUCUGAGACACUACAUCACCGACUUCAAUAUAGGAGUGCUCGAGCCAGGGACUAUCGAUUCCAUGAGGACCCUAUACGAGAAAACGCCUCUAUUUGAGGAUUCACAUGUGUUGUUUUCUUUUGUUCUACAACAGUUUAUUUAUCCAUUGUGUAGACGUAUCUAUAACAUAUUUUCAUAUAAAUUUGGUGUUAAAUGAAUAGGAAUAGGAGAAGGUUUCUGGUGGUGGUGUAAUCUCAGCAAUGUGGGAUUGGAUGAGUGAAAAGGUCACGGUUACCUCAUGGCUUGGUGUGUAGGGAUGGGUAUAUAAAACUUCAAAAUUGUACAGUUUCUUUUAUUUUUGACAAAAAAUAAAAGCACGGUUACAUUAAUAAGAUGAUUUAAAAUUCCAAUAUCACAAUUAGUAAAAUUUCUUUUUAAACUAAAUUGUGUAUUUCGAUGUAUUCAUUAUCGUUAAAUCACGUUUGACUAAGCGUGUUUAAAACCGAACUAAUAAAAUAGAAAAACCGCAAAUAUAACCAAUUUAAAUUGAAACCGCAAAAAAUGGCACUUGGUUCGGAUGUAUUCAGACAAUUUUUUUACUCAAUAGCAUGAUUUUGUUUGGUUUGCGGUUUUGAUUUUACCAAUCGAACCAAACCAAACAACAAUAUAAAAAAAAAAAAAAAUCUAAAUGGAAACUUUAAGAAAAUGACAUAUUUUUUUCUCUUGUUAAGUUUCCUUUUUUUUUUUUCCUUUAAAAAACAUAUUUUUGUGGUAAUUGAACUCUUAAAGAAUGAUAAAUUUUUUUAGUCUUUUGUAAUUUUUACAAAAUUUAAUUACUUUUUGUCCACGUUUAAAUCUAGUGUACGUAAUUGGGUACGUUGUUCGAUGAAAAUAAAAUCGUAAUGUUGGAUGAAAUUUAAAACAUUGCUGAAAAGUAUUAGGGUUUAUCGGAAGAUCUUUAAGAAGUUAACUAAGUACUAAAGAUGUCAGAUUAAAAGUAUUAGGGUUUACCCGAAGAUCUUUAAGAAGUUAGCUAAGUACUAAAGAUGUCGGAUUAAAAGUAUUAGGGUUUACCGGAAGAUCUUUAAGAAGUUAGCUAAGUACUAAAGAUGUCGGAUUAAAAGUAUUAGGGUUUANNNNNNNNNNNNNNNNNNNNNNNNNNNNNNNNNNNNNNNNNNNNNNNNNNNNNNNNNNNNNNNNNNNNNNNNNNNNNNNNNNNNNNNNNNNNNNNNNNNNNNNNNNNNNNNNNNNNNNNNNNNNNNNNNNNNNNNNNNNNNNNNNNNNNNNNNNNNNNNNNNNNNNNNNNNNNNNNNNNNNNNNNNNNNNNNNNNNNNNNNNNNNNNNNNNNNNNNNNNNNNNNNNNNNNNNNNNNNNNNNNNNNNNNNNNNNNNNNNNNNNNNNNNNNNNNNNNNNNNNNNNNNNNNNNNNNNNNNNCGGUGAGGGCUUCGGUCCUGAUGAAUGCUUUAACCAUUCAAAAGCGGUGAGGGCUUCGGUCCUGUCUGGUACCACAUACAUAUUUACAUAUUUGAGGAGUCUAAGGUGUUGUCUUAGCAGUGUUGUCAUGUCAUUUGCAUGAGUCUUAGUUGUUGGUUGUGGUUGUUACAUUGAUGAUGAUGAUGUUGUUGAUGAAUAUAUAUUUAUAUACAUAUUGUGGUGGAUGAAUUUUGAUGAUGUCUGUUGUUGCUUGAGAAUUAUAUGCUUAUAUUUGCAAGGUGAUGUGUUUGUUGUUUAGGGUGUUAGAUUCAAUUAAAGAUUUUACUAUCUAUAUUUAUUUGUUGUGAAUCUCACCCCUUCUGCUUGAAAAUGUUGUCCUUUCUAUGGGUAACUUGCAGGUGAUCCUGAGUAGUAGGUGGUGACUCAAGAGUCGUGUCUAGGGCUUUGAUACUUGGGAUGUGAAUUAUUAUUAGUAUUAUUGUCGUUGUUCCUUCCUAUGUAUCAAUUUUUGGAAUUUGAUGAUGUGGCCCUUGUUGAUUGAUUUAUUGUUGUUUAGGCUUUAUGCCAAGAUAUUAUUUUGGAGAAUUUAACCGUUGUUGUGGUUAUUUGAAAUGCAAACUUUCCGCUGCAUAAUUUUUGAAGUUACGAAUGAUGUUGAAUUAAAUAGUUUUACUUUAUAUUUAAGAAAAUUUGAAAUGUAGUGUAGCAUGUCCGUUUUGGUGAAAUACUCUGAUGAAUAUUUGUUAUUUAAAUGCUUUUGGAUAACGGGGUGUUACACCGGUCAUUUCACAUUUAUAUCUUGAUUCAAACCAUUAAUUUUACAUUUAACAAAAAAAAAAAAAAACCAUUAAUUUUACUAAAAACUAUAAAUAUGACGAAAGCACCCUCUUUCUCAUUGUAAUUCCUGGCGGAACUGGGGGUGGUAAGGAGAACCACCGCCACCCCAUCCUAAAAAAAAAAGGAUUGUUAUUUGAACAACUAUUUGGUUGACAACUUUUGGGACAACCAUAAUUUACAAAGAAAAAGUUGGUAUUUGCACGAAAACCAAAAUAAUAGAGAUAAAGUAAAAAAUAAUGUGAUUAUGAGAGAGAGAAAGUUGUCAUAAAAUGGAUGUUCAAAUAUCAUUUCUAAAAAAAAAAAAAAUUUUUAUAUACUAAAAUUACGAAAUUAUCCUUCAAUAGUACUAAUAUUUCCUAUUCAGUCUCAUGUCCUCUUCCCGUUUCUCUUUCAUCUGAGAACAAGUGAGAAACGCGAUCCUUUUCUUCUCCCAACCAAAGCAAAUCGAUCCACCACCGCCGGUGAGCCGCGAUCACUCUCCUCCUUCUCCAUCCAUCACCGCCUCCGCGAUUACUCUCCUCCUCCUUCAGUUUAGAAAGCUAUCUCCAUCUCUCUCCACAAACCCUAAUUGUUGUAACUUGUAAGGUAAUGUGAAAUUGAAUGUAAUUUCCUUCAAUUAUGAUUAUGAUUUGAUGAUUACAUGUUCUUUAGUUGAUUGUCAACUCUAAUUGUUAAACCUGUUGACUGUUGUUCUUUGCCCCUUUGGUGGUAACCAUAUUUACUGUCCUCUGUUAAUUGAUAAAUUCAUAAUUGCAUAACAUUUACUCUCUUUACAAAUAUUUUUUUGUUAAUCAUAGUUUUAAUCAUAGCCUAGUGAUGGUUUCACUUUCUAAUGAAAUUACUUAAUUAAGUCUUUGUGGUAAAUUCUUGGAGGAAUCUACUGAUUAAUUUUAUGUGAAAUAUAGUAUUAUUGAUGCAGGACUAAAUUUUUUACAUCUUAAACUGCUUCAAAUUGAAAUCCAAUGGAGUGGAAUGGAUGAUGACUCAAGUUUGUGAAUAUUUUUUUAGUAUUUAUAAGAGUGUCUCUGCAUCUUUGCUCUGCUUUUUAUAAAUGCUUUAAAGAUACAAAUGAUAUGCAGUUAAAAUGCAGUAUAUUUGAUGGUUGUUUGAAAUUGUGAAUAUUUUUAUGUAAUGUUAGAUAAAUUGGAGCAAGAAGAUAGCUAUGCGGUUGUAGCUUAAUGUUGGAGAAGAGAAGAAGAGUUAUUUAUGAUAAAAUGAAACCUUAGAAAAGAACUUUGAGUUUGACAACUAGCUAGAGCAAGAGCCAUAGGAGAGAUCAUGGUUUAGUAUUCGGAGCUGUCUGUGCCUUACUGCCAGUUUAUUUUCUGCUGUUUUCAGUUUUUUACUGGUUUUUUGGUGCUACUGGUGUAGCAGAUCAGCGCUGCUUGCAGCUGUUUUUCUGUCUUUGGUGGUUGCUUUUCAAUGAUGCUUGGNN